RNAcentral lists this ribosomal RNA (253 nucleotides) under uncultured bacterium. RNAcentral's name for it is "partial 16S ribosomal RNA". It matches the Rfam family "Bacterial small subunit ribosomal RNA", at positions 524 to 776 of the family's 1533-position model. The record is from RNAcentral.
UACGGAGGAGGCAAGCGUUAUCCGGAAUUAUUGGGCGUAAAGCGUCCGUAGGUGGCUCUUCAAGUCUGCUGUCAAAGACUGGGGCUUAACCCUGGAAAGGCCGUGGAAACUGAAGAACUAGAGUGCAGUAGGGGUAGAGGGAAUUCCCGGUGUAGCGGUGAAAUGCGUAGAGCUCGGGAAGAACAUCGGUGGCGAAAGCGCUCUGCUGGACUGCAACUGACACUCAGGGACGAAAGCUAGGGGAGCGAAUGGG